This 213-nucleotide long non-coding RNA is filed under the name Anser brachyrhynchus (Pink-footed goose). RNAcentral describes it as "lncRNA (ENSABRG00000001370.1)". Lineage: Eukaryota; Metazoa; Chordata; Aves; Anseriformes; Anatidae. The record is from RNAcentral.
UGACAAAGUGAAGUUGAAACCUCAAAGGUCAAAUGUAGAGAGCUAUCAGGUUGUUGUACAGCAAAAGAAGAAACCAACAUUGUACCUGAAAAUCUUUUAAAGAGAAGAAUACCAUCUAAGUGGGUUGACCAACUUGAAUUAGCACAGUGCUACUUAAGAAUAGAGGAGGAAGGAGGACUGUAUGGAGCACCUUCUGUUCAUGUGGUGAUUUAG